RNAcentral lists this ribosomal RNA (480 nucleotides) under uncultured bacterium. RNAcentral's name for it is "partial 16S ribosomal RNA". It matches the Rfam family "Bacterial small subunit ribosomal RNA", at positions 29 to 507 of the family's 1533-position model. The record is from RNAcentral.
AUGAACGCUGGCGGCGUGCUUAACACAUGCAAGUCGAACGAAGCAUUUAAGACAGAUUACUUCGGUUUGAAGUCUUUUAUGACUGAGUGGCGGACGGGUGAGUAACGCGUGGGUAACCUGCCUCAUACAGGGGGAUAGCAGCUGGAAACGGCUGGUAAUACCGCAUAAGCGCACAGUACCACAUGGUACAGUGUGAAAAACUCCGGUGGUAUGAGAUGGACCCGCGUCUGAUUAGCUUGUUGGCGGGGUAACGGCCCACCAAGGCGACGAUCAGUAGCCGACCUGAGAGGGUGACCGGCCACAGUGGGACUGAGACACGGCCCAGACUCCUACGGGAGGCAGCAGUGGGGAAUAUUGCACAAUGGAGGAAACUCUGAUGCAGCGACGCCGCGUGAGUGAAGAAGUAGUUCGCUAUGUAAAGCUCUAUCAGCAGGGAAGAUAGUGACGGUACCUGACUAAGAAGCUCCGGCUAAAUACGUG